Amblyraja radiata (thorny skate) is the source of this 543-nucleotide long non-coding RNA. RefSeq lists it as uncharacterized. The record is from RefSeq and is a predicted model, not a curated record. Lineage: Eukaryota; Metazoa; Chordata; Chondrichthyes; Rajiformes; Rajidae. The transcript has 2 exons.
AAAAAAUGCUCAUUGCAAGCUGUUUGAAAGCUAAUAGUCUCAAGAAUGACCAAUGAGGUGAUUUAUUAAAAAGGCUUCAGAAUUUCAUCAAAUUCAAAUAAUCUUGCCGAAUUGUUGGGAAAUCCUUCCAGUUGCUCAGUAACCUCAAGGCAGGCCUAUAAUUGUCCAUGUAUGUCCAUCUUACCAAAAAGGACCACAUUUUUGUUCCUGCCCUUCUUACUGUAAGGCUUCAGAAAUGGAUCCUCCAUGGAGAAGCUUAUGCUGCAACUCCAUCUGAACACUACAAAAGAAAACAAACUGCUUUGUCAAGACAAUUGUUAUGCAUUUCUCCACGGCGGUGAAGAUGGACCUGAUAAAGCAACGUUUCCCAACCCGAAUCGUUGCUGGUGUAAAGAAGGGUUCCAACCUGAAACAUUGCCUAUCCAGACCCUCCAGAGAUGCUGCCGGAUCCACUGAGUUACUACAGCAUUUUGUGUUCUAUGCAAGAUUCCAGCAUGUGCAGUUCCUUGUGUUUCUUAAUAAAGUAUUGCUUGGUUUAUAUUA